Long non-coding RNA from Osmerus eperlanus (European smelt), 726 nucleotides. RefSeq lists it as uncharacterized. Lineage: Eukaryota; Metazoa; Chordata; Actinopteri; Osmeriformes; Osmeridae. The record is from RefSeq and is a predicted model, not a curated record. The transcript has 3 exons.
CAUAACCAGCGGAUAGAACGCCUAUGGAGAGAUGUGUACAUCCAAGUCCUGGACCCAUUCCAUGUUCUCUUUCGAAACCUAGAAAGAGAAGGAAUGUUGAAUCCUGAUGAUGAGAGUCAUCUUUUUGCACUCCACUGGGCUUUUCUGCCUCAACUACAGAGGCAACUGGCCUUCUUCAUGGAAGCUUGGAACCGUCAUAGCCUGAGAACAGCAGGUAGCCAGUCUCCCUACCAACUUUGGGCAUCAUUCAGAAACCUUGAGGAUCCUGAUGAGGUGGAGGCAGACUAUGGUAUCGAUUGGGAUGGACCGUACGGCUUUGAUGACCUUGGACGUCAAAGGGAACAAGUUGAAGUACCUCAAGUGCAGCUGCAGCGACACCUGACUGAGGAGGACAUGGCUAGCUUACCUGACCCCAAUGUUCCCUUCUUGGAUGCACUGGACAUCUACACAGCCACACUACAGCAGUUGAUGCAGUGACAGUCUCAGUCUCCCCCUCCCCUUCUCCUAUCCAGAACUACAACCACUACUGAUAUGGCAAGAAUCAAACCCAGCAUUUUUAAAUACCGGUAACAGCAUUACAGUCAAUUAAGUUCACAUGUAAAGGUUAUAGUGCAUUUUAGUUUCAUUCUGGAAGCAAGAAGCACAACAUUUUUUUUUCUUUUUGAAGUUGUCUUUAUUCCACAACCUUAAACAUUUGUCAAUAAAAUAUCACACUCCUUAACUGUA